RNAcentral lists this transfer-messenger RNA (351 nucleotides) under marine sediment metagenome. It matches the Rfam family "transfer-messenger RNA". From Rfam's summary of the family: Bacterial tmRNA, also known as 10Sa RNA or SsrA, is named for its dual tRNA and mRNA-like properties. The record is from RNAcentral. RNAcentral also lists the same sequence under 1 other name.
GGGGGCGACCGGAAUCGACGGGGAUGGGAGGCCAUAGAGCGCAUGUCGAGGUCCCAUUGGGCUCGUUAAACAAAUGGGAAACUAUUAAUUGCUAAUGAUCAACCAUUAGCCCUCGCUGCCUAAUACGCGGCGACAUCGACCUUCCGGUGUCUGUGCGGGAGCAAGAUGACAUUUAGCAGGCUGCGAUGCUUUUUGUGUUUCAGGGGAAGCGUCUAAGACAAACUGAAGCUGGCGGAUUUUGUCGCUCGUCUUUGUGUGGCAUUUGACGCGAGAUUUAAACAGAGACUAAACAUGUAGGGGUCUUUGGUUGAAUAUUUUCGGACGCGGGUUCGAAUCCCGCCGCCUCCACCA